CAAUACCUGUACUUUCACCUUCAACCCCUGCCGUGCUGAUCCAAGCAGGACUAGCAGGUGUCUGUCUACCUUGGCUUCUUCCCCAUUCACCUGCCCAGUAGCCCCUUCCUGUGUCCUCCCACAGCGAGACGCUGCCAGUUGAGUUCCUGGGAGGACAGCCACUGUGCAUGAACCAGUAUUAUCAGAUCCUGUCUUCUUGCCGUGUGCCUGGCCUCAAGCAGGACUCAGUGGUGAACUUCUUAAAGUCAAAGAAACCACCCACACAUAUAACCGUGGUGCAUAACUACCAGUUCUUCGAGCUGGAUGUGUACCACAGUGAUGGGACACCACUCACCUCAGAUC
This 342-nucleotide long non-coding RNA is filed under the name Rattus norvegicus (Norway rat). Its description in RNAcentral is "long non-coding RNA NONRATT019142". Lineage: Eukaryota; Metazoa; Chordata; Mammalia; Rodentia; Muridae. The record is from RNAcentral.